This 253-nucleotide ribosomal RNA is filed under the name uncultured bacterium. RNAcentral's name for it is "partial 16S ribosomal RNA". It matches the Rfam family "Bacterial small subunit ribosomal RNA", at positions 524 to 776 of the family's 1533-position model. The record is from RNAcentral.
UACGAAGGGGGCUAGCGUUGUUCGGAAUCACUGGGCGUAAAGCGCACGUAGGCGGAUUUGUCAGUCAGGGGUGAAAUCCCGGGGCUCAACCUCGGAACUGCCUUUGAUACAGCAAAUCUCGAGUCCGGAAGAGGUGGGUGGAAUUCCUAGUGUAGAGGUGAAAUUCGUAGAUAUUAGGAAGAACACCAGUGGCGAAGGCGGCCCACUGGUCCGGUACUGACGCUGAGGUGCGAAAGCGUGGGGAGCAAACAGG